GAUGAACGCUGGCGGCGUGCCUAAUACAUGCAAGUCGAGCGAAUGGAUUAAGAGCUUGCUCUUAUGAAGUUAGCGGCGGACGGGUGAGUAACACGUGGGUAACCUGCCCAUAAGACUGGGAUAACUCCGGGAAACCGGGGCUAAUACCGGAUAAUAUUUUGAACUGCAUGGUUCAAAAUUGAAAGGCGGCUUCGGCUGUCACUUAUGGAUGGACCCGCGUCGCAUUAGCUAGUUGGUGAGGUAACGGCUCACCAAGGCAACGAUGCGUAGCCGACCUGAGAGGGUGAUCGGCCACACUGGGACUGAGACACGGCCCAGACUCCUACGGGAGGCAGCAGUAGGGAAUCUUCCGCAAUGGACGAAAGUCUGACGGAGUAACGCCGCGUGAGUGAUGAAGGCUUUCGGGUCGUAAAACUCUGUUGUUAGGGAAGAACAAGUGCUAGUUGAAUAAACUGGCACCUUGACGGUACCUAACCAGAAAGCCACGGCUAACUACGUGCCAGCAGCCGCCGCAG
Molecule: ribosomal RNA, 515 nt
Filed under: uncultured bacterium
Lineage: Bacteria
Description: partial 16S ribosomal RNA
Rfam family: Bacterial small subunit ribosomal RNA
Source: RNAcentral